Molecule: transfer RNA, 64 nt
Filed under: Apriona germarii
Lineage: Eukaryota; Metazoa; Arthropoda; Insecta; Coleoptera; Cerambycidae
Description: Apriona germari tRNA-His
Source: RNAcentral
AUUCAAAUAGUUUAAUAAAAAAUAUUGAUUUGUGGAGUCAGAGAUAUAAAAUUUAUUUUGAAUA